UCUUGUGAUGAAAACUCCGUCCAGUUCUGCUACUGAAGGGAGAGAGAUGAAAGCCUUUGAAAAAAAAAA
This 69-nucleotide small nucleolar RNA is filed under the name Cervus hanglu yarkandensis (Yarkand deer). The record is from RNAcentral. Lineage: Eukaryota; Metazoa; Chordata; Mammalia; Artiodactyla; Cervidae.